Molecule: non-coding RNA, 117 nt
Organism: Nomascus leucogenys (northern white-cheeked gibbon)
Lineage: Eukaryota; Metazoa; Chordata; Mammalia; Primates; Hylobatidae
Rfam family: Metazoan signal recognition particle RNA
About the family: The signal recognition particle (SRP) is a universally conserved ribonucleoprotein.
Source: Rfam
GCCGGGCGCAGUGACUUGUGCCUGUAAUCCCAUCACUUCGGGAGGCUGAGGCGGGAGGAUCACUUGAGCCCAGGAGUUUGAGACCAGCCUGGGCAACAUAGUGAGACCUCGUCUCUA